GACGAACGCUGGCGGCGUGCUUAACACAUGCAAGUCGAACGGAAAGGCCCUGCUUUUGUGGGGUGCUCGAGUGGCGAACGGGUGAGUAACACGUGAGUAACCUGCCCUUGACUUUGGGAUAACUUCAGGAAACUGGGGCUAAUACCGGAUAGGAGCUCCUGCUGCAUGGUGGGGGUUGGAAAGUUUCGGCGGUUGGGGAUGGACUCGCGGCUUAUCAGCUUGUUGGUGGGGUAGUGGCUUACCAAGGCUUUGACGGGUAGCCGGCCUGAGAGGGUGACCGGCCACAUUGGGACUGAGAUACGGCCCAGACUCCUACGGGAGGCAGCAGUGGGGAAUAUUGCACAAUGGGCGGAAGCCGGAUGCAGCAACGCCGCGUGCGGGAUGACGGCCUUCGGGUUGUAAACCGCUUGCGCCUGUGACGAAGCGUGAGUGACGGUAAUGUGUAAAGAAGCACCGGCUAACUACGUG
Molecule: ribosomal RNA, 468 nt
Filed under: uncultured bacterium
Lineage: Bacteria
Description: partial 16S ribosomal RNA
Rfam family: Bacterial small subunit ribosomal RNA
Source: RNAcentral